Pipistrellus kuhlii (Kuhl's pipistrelle) is the source of this 258-nucleotide long non-coding RNA. RefSeq lists it as uncharacterized. Lineage: Eukaryota; Metazoa; Chordata; Mammalia; Chiroptera; Vespertilionidae. The record is from RefSeq and is a predicted model, not a curated record. The transcript is spliced from 3 exons.
UAUGAUGGAUUUUUCUCCAAGAAGUGAAUAUUUUGCUUUGGGGAAUGAAAGGGCAGGGCCUACUGUAGAGGUUGCAUUGUUACUCGGACUUCUAAAGAGAUCAUUUGAAAUUCAGUUGAGUCACAAGAGAAGCCCAUCCUGGUAGAUCUGAGAAACUUUCCAGAAUGUGUGAAAAUGUAUGAAUAACAAUUUUUUGAGCCAGCUGUCCAUAUUUAAGUUAAUAGAAAUGUAUAAUAAAUACAUGACAACCUUUGUUUG